UGCCACUCUUAACGGGGUGGCUUUUCAGAAGUGUAAAAAGCUUCUGGAAUAAGGGCUGGGCAAGACCGGUGCCAGCCGCCGCGGUAACACCGGCAGCUCAAGUGGUAGCCGCUUUUAUUGGGCCUAAAGCGUCCGUAGCCGGUCUGAUAAGUCUCUGGUGAAAUCCCACAGCUUAACUGCGGGAAUUGCUGGAGAUACUAUCAUGACUCGAGGUCGGGAGAGGCUGGAGGUACUCCCAGGGUAGGGGUGAAAUCCUGUAAUCCUGGGAGGACCACCUGUGGCGAAGGCGUCCAGCUGGAACGAACCUGACGGUGAGGGACGAAAGCCAGGGGCGCGAACCGGAUUAGAUACCCGGGUAGUCCUGGCCGUAAACGAUGUGGACUUGGUGUUGAGAUGGCUUCGAGCUGCCCCAGUGCCGAAGGGAAGCUGUUAAGUCCACCGCCUGGGAAGUACGGCCGCA
This 460-nucleotide ribosomal RNA is filed under the name uncultured archaeon. RNAcentral describes it as "bacterial SSU rRNA". It matches the Rfam family "Archaeal small subunit ribosomal RNA", at positions 385 to 845 of the family's 1478-position model. The record is from RNAcentral.